GGGUGGAUAGCUCAGUGGUAGAGCGCAUGCUUAGCACGCACAAAGUCCUGGGUUUAAUCCCCAGUACCUCCA
Molecule: transfer RNA, 72 nt
Filed under: Camelus bactrianus (Bactrian camel)
Lineage: Eukaryota; Metazoa; Chordata; Mammalia; Artiodactyla; Camelidae
Also listed under: 1 other name
Rfam family: tRNA
About the family: Transfer RNA (tRNA) molecules are approximately 80 nucleotides in length. Their secondary structure includes four short double-helical elements and three loops (D, anti-codon, and T loops). Further hydrogen bonds mediate the characteristic L-shaped molecular structure. tRNAs have two regions of fundamental functional importance: the anti-codon, which is responsible for specific mRNA codon recognition, and the 3' end, to which the tRNAs corresponding amino acid is attached (by aminoacyl-tRNA synthetases). tRNAs cope with the degeneracy of the genetic code in two manners: having more than one tRNA (with a specific anti-codon) for a particular amino acid; and 'wobble' base-pairing, i.e. permitting non-standard base-pairing at the 3rd anti-codon position.
Source: Rfam by way of RNAcentral